Molecule: ribosomal RNA, 468 nt
Filed under: uncultured bacterium
Lineage: Bacteria
Description: partial 16S ribosomal RNA
Rfam family: Bacterial small subunit ribosomal RNA
Source: RNAcentral
GACGAACGCUGGCGGCGUGCUUAACACAUGCAAGUCGAACGGAAAGGCCCUGCUUUUGUGGGGUGCUCGAGUGGCGAACGGGUGAGUAACACGUGAGUAACCUGCCCUUGACUUUAGGAUAACUUCAGGAAACUGGGGCUAAUACCGGAUAGGAGCUCCUGCUGCAUGGUGGGGGUUGGAAAGUUUCGGCGGUUGGGGAUGGACUCGCGGCUUAUCAACUUGUUGGUGGGGUAGUGGCUUACCAAGGCUUUGACGGGUAGCCGGCCUGAGAGGGUGACCGGCCACAUUGGGACUGAGAUACGGCCCAGACUCCUACGGGAGGCAGCAGUGGGGAAUAUUGCACAAUGGGCGGAAGCCUGAUGCAGCAACGCCGCGUGCGGGAUGACGGCCUUCGGGCUGUAAACCGCUUUCGCCUGUGACGAAGCGUGAGUGACGGUAAUGGGUAAAGAAGCACCGGCUAACUACGUG